GACGAACGCUGGCGGCGUGCUUAACACAUGCAAGUCGAACGGAAAGGCCCUGCUUGCAGGGUACUCGAGUGGCGAACGGGUGAGUAACACGUGGGUGAUCUGCCCUGCACUUCGGGAUAAGCCUGGGAAACUGGGUCUAAUACCGGAUAGGAGCCAUUUUUAGUGUGAUGGUUGGAAAGUUUUUUCGGUGUAGGAUGAGCUCGCGGCCUAUCAGCUUGUUGGUGGGGUAAUGGCCUACCAAGGCGGCGACGGGUAGCCGGCCUGAGAGGGUGGACGGCCACAUUGGGACUGAGAUACGGCCCAGACUCCUACGGGAGGCAGCAGUGGGGAAGAUUGCACAAUGGGCGCAAGCCUGAUGCAGCGACGCCGCGUGGGGGAUGACGGCCUUCGGGUUGUAAACUCCUUUCGCUCGGGACGAAGCUUUUUGUGACGGUACCUAGAUAAGAAGCACCGGCUAACUACGUG
This 465-nucleotide ribosomal RNA is filed under the name uncultured bacterium. Its description in RNAcentral is "partial 16S ribosomal RNA". It matches the Rfam family "Bacterial small subunit ribosomal RNA", at positions 28 to 507 of the family's 1533-position model. The record is from RNAcentral.